CUUGGUGUUUAUGGCGUAGUGGGUACACCUGUCAUCAUUCCGAACACAGAAGUUAAGCACUACCGCGAUCGUUCUAGUUGGCUUUAAAGCCUGUGAAAAACGAUUCAACGCCAAGU
RNAcentral lists this ribosomal RNA (116 nucleotides) under Bacilli bacterium. The record is from RNAcentral. Lineage: Bacteria; Bacillati; Bacillota; Bacilli.